AUGGUUUCGGGGGUGGACAUUGAGAAAACCUGUUUAACUAAAGAAGUAGCAAGGGAUCAUGUCAGGAAAAGCAAGGCUAAAGAGCUGCCUCUUUCUGCUGUACGCUUUAUGGAAGAAUUGGGUGAAUGUGCUUUGGAAAAAUCUAUAAAGGCCAUCUCUAUCUCCCAGGCAUGGACCAUGCUCAGCUGGUUGCUAUUCAAGACCUUGAAAGAUUAUAACAAUCCCCAGCAAUGGACAGAAUUUCAACAGGAAGCCUCCCUAAUGGCAGAACUGCACCACCCCAAUAUUGUCUGCCUGCUAGGUGCCGUCACUCAGGAACAACCUGUGUGCAUGCUUUUGAGUAUAUGAAUCAGGGGAUCUCCAUGAGUCCUCAUCAUGCGAUCCCCACACUCUGAUGUUGGCUGCAGUAGUGAUGAAGAUGGACUGUGAAAUCCAGCCUGGACCAUGGAGAUUUUCUGCACAUUGCAAUUCAGAUUGCAGCCGGCAUGGAAUACCUGUCUAGUCACUUCUUUGUCCACAAGGAUCUUGCAGCUCGCAAUAUUUUAAUCGGAGAGCAACUUCAUGUAAAAUUUCAGACUUGGGGCUUUCCAGAGAAAUUUACUCCGCUGAUUACUAUAGGGUCCAGAGUAAGUCCUUGCUGCCCAUUCGCUGGAUGCCGCCUGAAGCCAUCAUGUAUGGCAAAUCUCUUCCGAUUCAGAUAUCUGGUCCUUUGGGGUUGUCCUGUGGGAGAUUUUCAGUUUUGGACUCCAGCCAUAUUAUGGAUUCAGUAACCAGGAAGUGAUUGAGAUGGUGAGAAAACGGCAGCUCUUACCAUGUCUGAAGACUGCCCACCCAGAAUGUACAGCCUCAUGACAGAGUGCUGGGAAUGAGAUUCCUUCCAGGAGACCAAGAUUUAAAGAUAUUCACGUCCGGCUUCGGUCCUGGGAGGGACUGUCAAGUCACACCAGCUCUACUACUCCUUCGGGGGAAAUGCCACCACACAGACAACCUCCCUCAGUGCCAGCCCAGUGAGUAAUCUCAGUAACCCCAGAUAUCCUAAUUACAUAUUCCCGAGCCAGGGUAUUACACCACAGGGCCAGAUUGCUGGUUUCAUUGGCCCGCCAAUACCUCAGAACCAGCGAUUCAUUCCCAUCAAUGGAUACCCAAUACCUCCUGGAUAUGCAGCGUUUCCAGCUGCCCACUACCAGCCAACAGGUCCUCCCAGAGUGAUUCAGCACUGCCCGCCUCCCAAGAGUCGGUCCCCAAGCAGUGCCAGUGGGGUCGACUAGCACUGGCCAUGUGACUAGCUUGCCCUCAUCAGGAUCCAAUCAGGAAGCAAAUAUUCCUUUACUACCACACAUGUCAAUUCCAAAUCAUCCUGGUGGAAUGGGUAUCACCGUUUUUGGCAACAAAUCUCAAAAACCGUACAAAAUUGAUGCAAAGCAAGCAUCUUUGCUAGGAGAUGCCAAUAUUCAUGGACACACCGAAUCUAUGAUUUCUGCAGAACUGUAAAAUGCACAACUUUUGUAAAUGUGGUAUACAGGACAAACUAGACGGCCGCAGAAAAGAUUUAUAUUCAAAUGUUUCUAUUAAAGUAAGGUUCUCAUUUAGCAGACAUCGCAACAGGUAUCUUCUGUGAAGUUUGACUGUGUCUUACCAAGCAGGACAGACACUAGGCCAGAAAAAAAAAAAA
Macaca mulatta (Rhesus monkey) is the source of this 1672-nucleotide non-coding RNA. NCBI's taxonomy places the organism in Eukaryota, Metazoa, Chordata, Mammalia, Primates, Cercopithecidae. The record is from RefSeq and is a predicted model, not a curated record.